CGGGACGGGUGAGUAAUGUCUGGGAAACUGCCUGAUGGAGGGGGGUAACUACUGGAAACGGUAGCUAAUACCGCAUAACGUCGCAAGACCAAAGAGGGGGACCUUCGGGCCUCUUGCCAUCGGAUGUGCCCAGAUGAGAUUAGCUAGUAGGUGGGGUAAAGGCUCACCUAGGCGACGAUCCCUAGCUGGUCUGAGAGGAUGACCAGCCACACUGGAACUGAGACACGGUCCAG
Molecule: ribosomal RNA, 233 nt
Filed under: uncultured bacterium
Lineage: Bacteria
Description: partial 16S ribosomal RNA
Rfam family: Bacterial small subunit ribosomal RNA
Source: RNAcentral